RNAcentral lists this ribosomal RNA (253 nucleotides) under uncultured bacterium. RNAcentral describes it as "partial 16S ribosomal RNA". It matches the Rfam family "Bacterial small subunit ribosomal RNA", at positions 524 to 776 of the family's 1533-position model. The record is from RNAcentral.
GACGGAGGAUGCAAGCGUUAUCCGGAAUGAUUGGGCGUAAAGCGUCCGCAGGUGGUUUUUCAAGUCUGCUGUUAAAGACCGGGGCUUAACUCCGGGCAGGCAGUGGAAACUGAAAGACUAGAGUAUGGUAGGGGCAGAGGGAAUUCCUGGUGUAGCGGUGAAAUGCGUAGAGCUCAGGAAGAACAUCGGUGGCGAAGGCGCUCUGCUAGGCCAAAACUGACACUCAGGGACGAAAGCUAGGGGAGCGAAUGGG